Molecule: long non-coding RNA, 1346 nt
Organism: Nerophis ophidion (straightnose pipefish)
Lineage: Eukaryota; Metazoa; Chordata; Actinopteri; Syngnathiformes; Syngnathidae
Exons: 8
Source: RefSeq, a predicted model, not a curated record
AUGUUUUUUAACAUAGGAAAAUAGUUCAUUGUAAACAACAGUUAAAUGUUUGUUGUUAUUAAUUGCAAUCAGAUUUGAUUUUAUGAGGUCAAAUUAAGCAUUUCAGUUCUGGGCCAAGGCCAAGGCAUUUAAAAUUUUUUUUUUAAAGUUGCAUGGAAGAUUAUAAGUAGCAGUGAUUGUCACACACACACUAGGUGUGGUGAAAUUAUUCUCUCCAUUUGACCCAUCACCCUUGAUCACUAUGCAAGUAAACCUUUUCUUAAUUUUAAACAAGACAGACUAGAGUUCUUCAAAUUGUUUAUACUUUUUCUCAAAUACAAAUAUGUCAAUCUGAUAAGCACUGUGGAGUAGGCAUGUUACUGAUAUUGUUACAUUAGUUCUUUGUUUGAGAAGCUUCAUGUCUGCACUGAUCCUAAAUUUAACAGUUUUUGAAGGGUUUGGUUCUUUGUUUUAUUUCUGUGUCACUGACUUUUUUCAUUUUUAUGUGUGGAUUUGUUAGGCGCAUCAACACAUGAUAUAGACAUCGUGCCCAAAAGAAGAGCGAGACGUAAUCCUGAGGCUGAAGCUACCGAGUUUAUUUGAUCUGGAUGUGACAAGUCUUGUUUUAAGGCCCAGUGGAUCAAUGAUUGGAAAGACACCAACUGUUGAUGUUCUAUCUCAACAUUCUCCAGAUUCAUGUGAGCGAUAAACCGACUUCAUCCCUCCAACAGACACCUACUGUUGGGGUUCUAUCUCAACAUUCUCCAGAUUCAGAUGUGAGCGAUAAACCGACUUCAUCCCUCCAACAGAAACCAACUGUUGAGGUUCCAUCUCAACAUUCUCCAGAUUCAGAUGUGAGCCAUUAACUGACUUCAUCCCUCCAACAGAAACCAACUGUUGAGGUUCCAUCUCAACAUUCUCCAGAUUCAGAUGUGAGCCAUUAACUGACUUCAUCCCUCCAACAGAAACCAACUGUUGAGGUUCUAUCUCAACAUUCUCUAGAUUCAGAUGACAGCCAUAAACCGACUUCAUCCCUCCAACAGAUUGACAGCAGGACAAAUCGCUGGAAGUAGGUAUGUCUCAAGCUUCUUCCACUUGGUCCACUCCAAAGCGGGCUGCAAAGGGGAAGAAGUGGAAGCAGUUGAAUGACACAUGUUGCAUUUUGUAACUGGCAACAAAGUACCAGGUAAAAAAGAUUGUGAAGCCUGCCUCCAUAAAGAACUAGUAGCUCUACAGGACAGAGAUUGGCUUGCCAUCAAGUACUACAUCCAUAACAGAAUUAUAUUAAAAAAAGGGGAAAAAAAUGUUUUCCCACAUCUUCUGUGGUAGUUUGAGUAUGUUACCAGCAAUUAAAAAAGCAAAAUAAA